UGCAGGGUAGGGGAGCGGCCGUCCCCGUUGGUCUCAUACGCCAAAGAUCGCGAGUUCAAAUUUCGCCUCUGCAACCA
This 77-nucleotide transfer RNA is filed under the name Rhodoferax sp. RNAcentral describes it as "tRNA-Met". It matches the Rfam family "tRNA". Rfam says of the family: Transfer RNA (tRNA) molecules are approximately 80 nucleotides in length. Their secondary structure includes four short double-helical elements and three loops (D, anti-codon, and T loops). The record is from RNAcentral. Lineage: Bacteria; Pseudomonadati; Pseudomonadota; Betaproteobacteria; Burkholderiales; Comamonadaceae.